UCCCCUACCCGUGUCGCAGAUGCACACUAUCCUCUUCUCCUCCCUCCCGUCAGCAACCUGCCUCCACUCCGCGAGGCAGAUCGAUCGAGAACCAUGGCCGGGGUCGCCACCGUGCCUCGCCGCGCAGCGCAUCGGGUAUCCACCUCCCCUCCCCCAUCUUCCUCCUUCAAAUUUUGGCAGCAACGACCGUGAGUGUGGCUGCUCCUCGUCUGUGCUCCGGCAGACGUCCCCUACCCACCCCCCUCCGCUGACAGUGGCCAGAACGAGGUGGGUUCAACCGGCAGAGCCCCGGGCGAGAUCGCGUGCGAGUGGACGGAGCAGGCGCUCAUGGUCGUGGUGAACCAUGGGCGCAGUCGGAGCAGAGAGUCGGGGCGUCGGAGAUGAGGAGAACGGCGUAGGUACAGGUGGAUGUCAGCAACCUGCCCCCUACGACGGCGGACAAGGAGGAGGUCGGGGGUUACAGGUACAGGUGGAUGUCAGCAACCUGCCCCCUACGACGUCGAUGGUACUUUGAUGUUAGAAGGGAUACUUGCCCCUUUGGCGGAUGAUGUUUUUACAAGCAUGCCUACACCGAUGGGCAUUUGGAGGAGCCGGCAACGGUGGCAGUGCUUCAUUUUCAUGCCGACAAUGGAAGUAUGGACCAGCAAGAAAUAUCGAGUUGGUACUCUCUAUUAGUCUCCUCUAUAUAAUGUAUAACCUCUGCUUGCUUCUCAUAGAACAUUCUGAUGUAUAAACCUCUGCUUGCUCUCUGAUAGAAAAUUCCGUUCGAACAUGC
Non-coding RNA from Aegilops tauschii subsp. strangulata, 775 nucleotides. Lineage: Eukaryota; Viridiplantae; Streptophyta; Magnoliopsida; Poales; Poaceae. The record is from RefSeq and is a predicted model, not a curated record.